Molecule: ribosomal RNA, 433 nt
Filed under: uncultured bacterium
Lineage: Bacteria
Description: partial 16S ribosomal RNA
Rfam family: Bacterial small subunit ribosomal RNA
Source: RNAcentral
AACGAACGCUGGCGGCAGGCCUAACACAUGCAAGUCGAGCGGACCCUUCGGGGUUAGCGGCGGACGGGUGAGUAACGCGUGGGAAUAUGCCCUUCUCUACGGAAUAGUCCUGGGAAACUGGGGGUAAUACCGUAUACGCCCUUUGGGGGAAAGAUUUAUCGGGGAAGGAUUAGCCCGCGUUGGAUUAGGUAGUUGGUGGGGUAAUGGCCUACCAAGCCGACGAUCCAUAGCUGGUUUGAGAGGAUGAUCAGCCACACUGGGACUGAGACACGGCCCAGACUCCUACGGGAGGCAGCAGUGGGGAAUCUUAGACGAUGGGGGCAACCCUGAUCUAGCCAUGCCGCGUGAGUGAUGAAGGCCUUAGGGUUGUAAAGCUCUUUCAGCUGGGAAGAUAGUGACGGUACCAGCAGAAGAAGCCCCGGCUAACUCCGUG